GUAGGGAAUAUUGGACAAUGGGGGGAACCCUGAUCCAGCCAUGCCGCGUGGAGGAAGACUGCCCUCUGGGUUGUAAACUCCUUUUAUAUGGGAAGAACCGUCCUCAUUAAUGAGUGACCUGACGGUACCAUAGGAAUAAGCACCGGCUAACUCCGUGCCAGCAGCCGCGGUAAUACGGAGGGUGCAAGCGUUAUCCGGAUUCACUGGGUUUAAAGGGUGCGUAGGCGGAUAAAUCAGUCAGUGGUGAAAUCAACGGGCUCAACCUGUUAACUGCCAUUGAUACUGUGUAUCUUGAAUAUGAGAGAGGUAGGCGGAAUGUUGCAUGUAGCGGUGAAAUGCUUAGAUAUGCUACGGAACACCGAUUGCGAAGGCAGCUUACUAUUUCGUAAUUGACGCUGAGGCACGAAAGCGUGGGUAGCGAACAGGAUUAGAAACCCGUGUAGUCC
Molecule: ribosomal RNA, 446 nt
Filed under: uncultured bacterium
Lineage: Bacteria
Description: partial 16S ribosomal RNA
Rfam family: Bacterial small subunit ribosomal RNA
Source: RNAcentral